GGCUGCCCUCACUCAGUACUGUAGUGCUCAACUCAAUCGAAUGCGUUUCUUCUGACCUUUGAAAGCACUAAUUGGAAUCCCUUUUCACUGUCUUUCCUCCCAGCUCAGACUCAGACUGGCUCCUCUCCAGUCUCCCUGUUCCUCUUGCAUUACCUGCUCCCACCUCAAUUUCCCCCAUAUUUUCCUCAUUUUGUCUUAAUUCGUACUAUGUUGGGUUUUUUCCCCUUUUUUUCUCUUCUUUGUCCAUCUUUCAUCAUUCCCUAACCCCUACGUAGUUUAAUAAUAUUUUUACUAUUUUCAAUAUGUAAUUUCUCAAUCUAUUCAAGAUCAUUACUCUCAUUUUAUACCUGGAUUAGAGCAAUUGUGGGAAAUGACUUCAAUAAUUUUUUUUAAAAAAAAAAUGUUUAUUAUUUUAUGGCUUUUUUCUGAAGUGAUUGCAUUAAUAGGUUGAGGCUCUUUUCUCAAAGUGGUUCUGGACACUGGGCAGAGUUAAAGUCCUGACAUAGGUAUUUGCUGACCUGGGACACUUAGCAAAGAGAAAGCACCUCACUAAAUAAAGUCCCUUAUGUAAAAGUAGAAGAGCUAAUCAUCCCAGCAGAUGGGUGAAAAUACUAAAAAUAUGAAAAAAAUAGGGAACAAUUCACCCAAACAGCUUACAACACAACUGAUGCCAUUGAUCACAGUGGAGGAAAUGCCAGAGAAAAAAUUUAGGAACUUGGUAGUUAAAUUGUUCAAUGAACUUAAAAAAAAAAACCUAAGUAAUAAACUAAACUAAAAGAGGAAGUACAGAAAAAGAAAAAACAUUUCAAUAAAGAGAUGGAGAUUUUGAAAAAGAACCCAACAAAUCUCAGAAAUCAAAGAAUCAAUUAGUCAAAUUAAAAACUCAGCUGAAAGCAUCACCAACAGAUUAGACUCCACAGAAGAUGGCUUUUCAGGCCUCAAAGACACAGUAUAUGAUCUUGAAAACAAAGUCAGCAAAAGAAAGGGAAGAUGAUAAGAGACCAUGACUAGAAUAUUCAAGAAAUCUGGGAUAAUUCUGAGCAGAAUCUUGAAAGCUAGGUAGAGGUGUCCCAGGAAGGCAGGCGGGGAGAAAGGCCAGAGCACAGGCUCGACCCUGCACUCUGCCUGGUGCCCUGGGCCCUACAAGCAGAUCUGCACGGCUGCACCAAGAGCUGUGCGGUCCAGGAGACUUCAGGCCUGACCCUCAGCAUCCAGCCGCCUGCCACCUGCUCCCUGCACGACCUUUCUCCCUCUCCUGUCACUCAACCCCUUUCUCUCACCAGCCUUCACUGGGAGCCACCUUGAUCAGAUCCCUCUCCACUGCUCAACCGCAGGUGAGCUUCCACAAGGACUGCCAACUCCAAAACAGCCCAAAGCAUCCUCUCCUCCUCUUCCUCUAGUUCUACUGAGAAAGCCUUAACAGUCACAAAGAGUGAACCUCCAAAAACUUACUCGACCUUGCCUGCAUUUCCUCUGUCAGGUCACGUCCCCAAAGCCCAAAACUCUUGAAGUGCUCUGUUAAUUCUCAAGCCUCUAUGAAAUAGGAAAGGACUUCUAUUAUCCUGAACUUACAAGUCUGCUGAACUAUUUUAAAAAUUAAUCAAUCUAUAAUGCAUAUACUGAAAGCCUUAUGCCCAAAGCAUACAGAUUGCAGGGGGAAGUAGUUCACUGGGUUGUCUUAGAGUUUCAUAUGGUGAUGAGAAAACGGCACCUGUCACUCCCCACCCCCAAGAAAUGUCCCGGAUUUCAUGAGACUCCCUACGGUCUGAUUGGGAGAAAGGACAUGAAUCAGAGUUCCAGAAAUGAAUGCCAAAUUACAACCGGAUAAACACUUCCAUGGAAGAAGCAUCCCUAGUGCUGGCAGUGCGUAAUGGGGAUUCACCCAGAGACGAGGCAGAGAGGCAGCUAUGUGAAGGCGAGGUGUUGGGAGCAUGGGAAGGACCCUCCAGGCCAAAAGGGGCCCAAGGACAAUGCCAAGACGGCAGGAGGAUGGCACCUUUCUCCAGGUGAAAGUAGGUGAAUGUGGCUAAAUGAAGAGAGCCCGGCGUGCAGAAG
Molecule: long non-coding RNA, 2055 nt
Filed under: Marmota monax (woodchuck)
Lineage: Eukaryota; Metazoa; Chordata; Mammalia; Rodentia; Sciuridae
Source: RNAcentral